UACGGAGGGGGCUAGCGUUGUUCGGAAUUACUGGGCGUAAAGCGUGCGCAGGCGGUUAUAUAAGACAGAGGUGAAAUCCCCGGGCUCAACCUGGGAACUGCCUUUGUGACUGUAUAGCUUGAGUGCGGCAGAGGGGGAUGGAAUUCCGCGUGUAGCAGUGAAAUGCGUAGAUAUGCGGAGGAACACCGAUGGCGAAGGCAAUCCCCUGGGCCUGCACUGACGCUCAUGCACGAAAGCGUGGGGAGCAAACAGG
RNAcentral lists this ribosomal RNA (253 nucleotides) under uncultured bacterium. RNAcentral's name for it is "partial 16S ribosomal RNA". It matches the Rfam family "Bacterial small subunit ribosomal RNA", at positions 524 to 776 of the family's 1533-position model. The record is from RNAcentral.